GGUGGCUCAGUGGUAGAGCACUUGCCUUGCAUGCAUGAUGCCCUGGGGGUUCGAUUCCUCCGCACCA
RNAcentral lists this transfer RNA (67 nucleotides) under Dipodomys ordii (Ord's kangaroo rat). It matches the Rfam family "tRNA". Rfam says of the family: Transfer RNA (tRNA) molecules are approximately 80 nucleotides in length. Their secondary structure includes four short double-helical elements and three loops (D, anti-codon, and T loops). The record is from Rfam by way of RNAcentral. Lineage: Eukaryota; Metazoa; Chordata; Mammalia; Rodentia; Heteromyidae.